CAACCCUCAAGCUCUGCUUGGUAUUAGGCUCCACCUGCUAGGCGGGCCAUAAAAUCAGUGGCGGUGCCAUUCGGCUUCAAGCAUAGUAAUACUUCUCGCUAUGGAUGACCGAAUUUGUGCUUGCCAGUAACCCUAAUCUUUAAA
Molecule: unclassified non-coding RNA, 144 nt
Filed under: uncultured Helotiales
Lineage: Eukaryota; Fungi; Ascomycota; Leotiomycetes; Helotiales
Description: sequence contains ITS2
Source: RNAcentral